This 393-nucleotide ribosomal RNA is filed under the name uncultured bacterium. RNAcentral's name for it is "partial 16S ribosomal RNA". It matches the Rfam family "Bacterial small subunit ribosomal RNA", at positions 523 to 918 of the family's 1533-position model. The record is from RNAcentral.
AUACGGAGGAUGCGAGCGUUAUCCGGAUUUAUUGGGUUUAAAGGGAGCGUAGGUGGGAUAUUAAGUCAGCUGUGAAAGUUUGGGGCUCAACCUUAAAAUUGCAGUUGAUACUGGUUUCCCUGAGUACGGUACAGGUGGGCGGAAUUCGUGGUGUAGCGGUGAAAUGCUUAGAUAUCACGAAGAACUCCGAUCGCGAAGGCAGCUCACCGGGCCGGAACUGACACUUAUGCUCGAAAGUGCGGGUAUCAAACAGGAUUAGAUACCCUGGUAGUCCGCACAGUAAACGUUGAAUACUCGAUUUUUGCGAUACACUGUAAGCGGUCUAGCGAAAACGUUAAGUAUUCCACCUGGGGAGUACGCCGGCAACGGGGAAACUCAAAUGAAUUGACGGGU